This 505-nucleotide ribosomal RNA is filed under the name uncultured bacterium. RNAcentral describes it as "partial 16S ribosomal RNA". It matches the Rfam family "Bacterial small subunit ribosomal RNA", at positions 28 to 507 of the family's 1533-position model. The record is from RNAcentral.
GACGAACGCUGGCGGCGUGCCUAAUACAUGCAAGUAGAACGCACGGUUUAUACCGUAGCUUGCUACACCAUAGACUGUGAGUUGCGAACGGGUGAGUAACGCGUAGGUAACCUGCCUGGUAGCGGGGGAUAACUAUUGGAAACGAUAGCUAAUACCGCAUAAUAUUAAUUAUUGCAUGAUAAUUAAUUGAAAGGUGCAAUUGCACCACUACCAGAUGGACCUGCGUUGUAUUAGCUAGUAGGUGAGGUAACGGCUCACCUAGGCGACGAUACAUAGCCGAACUGAGAGGGUGAUCGGCCACACUGGGACUGAGACACGGCCCAGACUCCUACGGGAGGCAGCAGUAGGGAAUCUUCGGCAAUGGACGAAAGUCUGACCGAGCAACGCCGCGGGAGUGAAGAAGGUUGUCGGAUCGGAAAGCUCUGUUGUAAGAGAAGAAAGGGUGUGAGAGUGGAAAGUUCACACUGUGACGGUAUCUUACCAGAAAGGGACGGCUAACUACGUG